RNAcentral lists this ribosomal RNA (708 nucleotides) under uncultured prokaryote. RNAcentral's name for it is "bacterial SSU rRNA". It matches the Rfam family "Bacterial small subunit ribosomal RNA", at positions 48 to 738 of the family's 1533-position model. The record is from RNAcentral.
CGGCUAUCUGCAGUCGAGCGAACUGAUUAGAAGCUUGCUUCUAUGACGUUAGCGGCGGACGGGUGAGUAACACGUGGGCAACCUGCCUGUAAGACUGGGAUAACUUCGGGAAACCGAAGCUAAUACCGGAUAGGAUCUUCUCCUUCAUGGGAGAUGAUUGAAAGAUGGUUUCGGCUAUCACUUACAGAUGGGCCCGCGGUGCAUUAGCUAGUUGGUGAGGUAACGGCUCACCAAGGCAACGAUGCAUAGCCGACCUGAGAGGGUGAUCGGCCACACUGGGACUGAGACACGGCCCAGACUCCUACGGGAGGCAGCAGUAGGGAAUCUUCCGCAAUGGACGAAAGUCUGACGGAGCAACGCCGCGUGAGUGAUGAAGGCUUUCGGGUCGUAAAACUCUGUUGUUAGGGAAGAACAAGUACAAGAGUAACUGCUCGUACCUUGACGGUACCUAACCAGAAAGCCACGGCUAACUACGUGCCAGCAGCCGCGGUAAUACGUAGGUGGCAAGCGUUAUCCGGAAUUAUUGGGCGUAAAGCGCGCGCAGGCGGUUUCUUAAGUCUGAUGUGAAAGCCCACGGCUCAACCGUGGAGGGUCAUUGGAAACUGGGGAACUUGAGUGCAUAAGAGAAAAGCGGAAUUCCACGUGUAGCGCUGAAAUGCGUACAGAUGCGGAGGAACUCCAGUGGCGAAUUUGCUUCUUAGGUCUGUA